UUUUUGUGUAGCCUCACAACAUUUUAUCCACAGUCAAAAAAAUAAAACCAUGAAAAGCUGCUUCGCCCUUUCGCUGCAGACAAAAAGAGGCAAGUGAAAGCUAUUUUUGUGUUGUCUUCUUUAAAAUUCACGUGAUUACGUGUGGUAUGGAGCAAUAGAGUUUGUAAUCCCCAUUGUAGGAGCCCACUCCAUGUUGUCUUUGUGUUAGCUGAUCCACCUACAGACACCGCUCCAUCCUGAGUUUGCCCAUGCCUCCCUCCCUUUUGUUGUCUCACCCUCUUUCGCCCUCUCCCUCCCACUCGCCUGUUUUAUUGUGUUUUUUUUUUUUUUUUGUGGGGUUCAGUGGUGCUUUCCACAGGUUGGAUAUCAGAGGGGAUGAAGGUAAGGGGGAGGGAUCUUAUGCUCUACUUACCCAGAAGUCUGACUUUGCAGGCCUGAUUUCUUAUUUAUACCCUUGUUAGAUCUGGACUGACCCAUCUGGGCUGCACUGCUACUAAAGGAAGUGGCUGAGGGAGGGUGAAGCUGUGCAGCAGCUGAAGCCUGAAGUGGCCUCAUCAAGGCUUGGACCCCAGCGCCAUAUAUUGUCAGCUAAGAGACACUUCAGCUGGCAACAGCAGCGGUGUCUGAAGAUAAAUUCUGCAGGUUGUUUUCUACAGGAAAGCUGUUCUUUCAGAGGACGAAGACUACAAAAACCCGUUGCUUUGAGGCUUAAUGUGGAUUUGGGAUUCUUUGGAGGAAAAAGGAGGCUGGAGUACCCUCUUUAGGUUGAUCACGGUUCAUAUUUUGUCCAUCCUUCUGGAAGCAUAAGGAGUAGAAACUGGCUUUCGAUGACCAGGAGGUAAAAAGCUACGCUGUUUUAUUCUGUGUAAUUGAGAGUCACUAUAUUCAACCUCCUGUGAAAGGAUACACUCAUAGCAUCAUCAGUAGCCUCGGAUCCAGGUAUCAGGUUAUAUCAGUCUGAUCCAUCUAGGUAAGGCUACACCAAAACCAAGAGUGACACUGAAGUAAACAGCAGCUCAGGAGUCCUGAGUUCAAGG
Astatotilapia calliptera (eastern happy) is the source of this 1037-nucleotide long non-coding RNA. The record is from Ensembl. Lineage: Eukaryota; Metazoa; Chordata; Actinopteri; Cichliformes; Cichlidae.